CCUUUUAUUUUGUCCAGAUCUGUAAAUUUCCUUAGUAUUAACUGUGCUGGUAUAGGAAGGGUAAAAAUCUUUUCUUAACUUAUUUUCAUGGUGGGUUAUUUUGGCAAUUUCCUGAUGCUCCUCUUUUGAAAACCUCUAAUGAAGGCUGCAAGCUGAAUGCCCAUCCAGCUGGGACAUGAGGAGGAUUCUAGAGCAUCUCAGGGCCACUGGCCAAGAUAGGAGCUCUUGUGGCCCAAGGAGGGGGAGGAUGGAGAGGGGUCAGGGAGAGAGGAUGAGGUCCCCAUGGCCUCCUUACUUCUCUGGCCCCAAGCAUGGCAGCAGGGAUGCAACCCCUGGAUGUGGCCAAGGAGCCAUGUGCAACGGACAGGGUGUGGGGUGGCUUUCUCUCUGUGUAGCACCUUUAUUUGCUUUUAAGAGAUAUAGGCAUCUCUAUGUCAUUGUACUCAAUCCUCUCUUGCACAGGAGACAAAAUAGCUGGUAGAGAACUGUAAGAGAAAAAUUAAUUGCAUUUUCAAGGAUUUGGGAAGGCAAAGUAUUUUCCAGGAUAAGACAAAGGAGGUUAUUAUUGCUUUUUGGUCCUUUUUUAAAUGAAUAAGGAUGAAAAGAGGAGAUAAAACAUGCAAUUCCUUGGUUCAGGUUCCAUUUCAGCCUGCUUUUUCUCACCUAGAAAGUAUCUGAUGGACAGACGGGGAUUGUUGUUGUGGUUUUCACCCAAAUAUAGCACCUAGAUCUCAGCUUUUUGCUUCUUUGUUUAUCUGAUUUUUCUUUCUUAUAUGCUUGUUUCUUUGUUAUCUGAUAUUUCUUUUGCAUCUUACGCAACCAAAACUUUCAGCACUCAUUCUUUGCCACCUGUCACUCCUCAGAUCAUUCCUUUCCCAGUCUUCAUUGAUGUGAAUAUUGUUCGUGCUAUCCAAGGGCUCUCCUCCACAUUAAACCUAAUCCAAGCAGUCGUGUCCAUGACUGAAACCCUCCUGGUAGUGCUGAUGAAGAGGCAAGAGGCUUAAAGAUUCUCAUGUCUUUUUGCUGUCCCUGCUGAAUGCUGUGCCCAUCAAAGUAACUGAAUCUUAAUUCACAUUGGCUGCAUCCAGCUCCAGAGGCAAAUUCCACAUGGAGAUUUCAACCCAACUUUUCUUUCUAGGGAGAUCAAGAAGAGGAGGUUGGGAAAAUGCUCACAUGCUGUACUUCAGCUUUUUCCUUCCCUGCCCUCCUGUACUUCACACCCCCCAGAUUUGUGGAUUCUUUGUGGCAUCCCACAUUUUGAAAAGACCAUUUUCCUGGAGAGCAGGAGGCACAAAGCUGGAGCAGGAGUGUCAAAGGUGCCUACUCACAUCCACAGUUUUACAGGAAGAAAACACAUGAGGACCACAUCAUGGCCAAGGUCCCAAGAACUAGGGAGAGGGACACCUUCCACUGUC
Molecule: non-coding RNA, 1415 nt
Organism: Zonotrichia albicollis (white-throated sparrow)
Lineage: Eukaryota; Metazoa; Chordata; Aves; Passeriformes; Passerellidae
Source: RefSeq, a predicted model, not a curated record